This is a long non-coding RNA of Pristis pectinata (smalltooth sawfish), 3792 nucleotides long. RefSeq lists it as uncharacterized. Lineage: Eukaryota; Metazoa; Chordata; Chondrichthyes; Rhinopristiformes; Pristidae. The record is from RefSeq and is a predicted model, not a curated record. The transcript has 7 exons.
AAAAGUAGCAAUUUUUUUUGGUGGGGAGGGGGGUGUUUGUGUGUAUGUGUGUGUUGGGAGGGUGCACAAGGGAGGUGUGGUGGGUAGGGAGAAAAGGGGUGGGGGGAGAGGAAAAGUUACGACUCUUGAACGAGGGAAGGAGGCGUGGGUCUAAUGUGGUUCCCUUGCUCUGCUAAGGCUUCGUGGUGUGGGUCGCCUCGAUAAACGUCUCGGCCGCUCCGAAGAGCUCCUCAGUGACAGGAGAUAAGAGUGAGAAGGAUUCCAGCCACUGCUUCAUGUGCAUAAGACAGACGCACACUCCAGUUACUUUGCACCACAGGUUCUUGUCUCUCCCUCUCUGCCCACUUACAGCACUUCAAUCAAUGCAGCCAAGACAUCACAUACAGUUGAGUGAGAGAGCUGUGAACUAUUUCUGCACCAUCAGUAUUAUUAUUUUUGUGAAGGGGGCGGAGGCGGUGGGGAGAAAAACUCUCUGUUGGGCUCCGGGGAAAUCCACCGUGCAAGACAGUCUCAACGGAUCCACAGAGCCAUCGAGCAGUACUUAGGGAUAAUCUCGUCCUCGUCUAUAGACACCAGUGCAUUGCAAUGUUCUCAAUUAUCUUCCUCGCUCAGGAAGUAUUAACACAGUGCAACAACAUUUUAAAAGAUCUCUGCGAUCCAAAUUUAAUUGGCUUUCUGUCUGCGAGAUGCACUGGUUAACCCGUCGCAAUAAUUUCCACCCCUGGCGAAAAAUUGUCUGCAAUUCCUGGAUGAGGAUUCAGCCGUUUGGACAGCCAUUUGGGGUUGGUCGGGAGGAGGGGGUGUUGUUACGCUGGCUGCUUCGCCCGACUCCACGCGACAAGUCUGGGGUUGGGCUGCCUUCCAGCGACCGCUGUUCACCGCUGUCGAGUCGCCGGGUCCCCCUCGCACCGUCUCCCGGAGUCGGACGCCUCGUCUGUCAGCGGCACCAUGAGAAAAUGGGCAACGGAAGACGCUGAGCCCGAACUUCAGAGAAGCGGUUUCGCGUCCAACCCGCCGACCCCCCGCACACGCAGAAUUACCGCUCCGCAAUCGCAAGUUGUGAUCUGGAAUGUGCUGCCUGAAAGGGGAAUGGAAGCAAAUUCAAUAGGAACUUCCAAAAAUUUUUCCAAUGCCACUUUGAAAGGGAACAUUUAGAGGGUUGCAGGUGAAGAGCAGGUUACGUCUGUAAUGGAGAUGAGUAUUGCACCCAGUUUUGGAUGUUUUAACAAUUCCAGAAGCCCACUUGGGGUAAGCCGAAGACAGGCCACACUAUCCUUGCUCUCUGGCUUCCUGCUUGUGCAUUUUAUUUUCUUGCGGACUAUUUGAGGGUGGGCCUUGAAUACCGCAUCCAGCUCCAAUCACCAGCACAUGAUGGCAGAUUAGCAACUACUGAAAGUCGCUCUUCAGAGAACUCUGAGGCAGAAGCUCUUCUAACUUGGAUCAUUCACACAGAGAGUUCCAAAUCCUUCCAACAUUGAGAUUGCCCACCCAGCCCAGAUAUCUGGACUUUUUGGCAUCAACAUACCGGACGUCAGCUACAUACCAGAAGCAAUGUGUCCCUACAACCUCUGUCUGACAUUGACUUUAAUGGGUUUGAGUGUCUUAACCAACACUGCUUGCUCCACCUCUGGUCUCUAUGAAUAGCUGGUGCCUUGUGUCAAAUCCUAGUUCCUUAUGCUGUCUGCCACUUAAUGCCACAGCUUGCAUUUGCCUCCAAGAUCUUGGGGAACCAGACAAGGGCAGGAGCGUCUUAUUGGCAGUAUUGUCAAUUUGACAUGUAGUGCCCAAUUGCCAUAUAACUGAGUUCUGUAUGUUGGAGAAGAACGUCCAUGUAGUGAAGUCAGUAUGGUGCGAGCACCCGAUAACCCACAGAAGAUGAGGACACUUUGAAAGAAGUUGGACAAACUUGGGUUGCUUUCUCUGGAGCAUCAGAGACUGAGAGGAGAGCUGAUAGAAAUUUAUAAAAUUGUGAGAGGCAUAGAUAGGGUAGACAGAAUCUUUUUCCCAGGGUAGAAUAGAGGACAUGUAUUUAGGGUGAGAGCAGGAAAGUUUAAAGGGGAGAUGCUGGGCAAGGUUUUUACACGAAGCGUGGUGGGUGCCUGGAAUGGGCUUGGAUACGAUAGAGAAGCAGAUACGAUAGAGGAAUUUAAGAGGCUUUUAGAGGGACACAUGAAUAUACAGGAAAUUGAGGGAUAUGGAUCAUGUACAGGCAGAAUGGAUUUAGUUUAAUUUGGUAUCAUGUUCAGCGGAGACAUUGUGGGCCGAAGGGCCUUUUCCUGUUUUGUACUUUUCUAUGUUCGAUGUUCUUUGACCACCCAGAAGGAACGGAGGUAGUUCUUGAAUCAAUAGUUGGGGACAAGGACAUCAGCUGCCAGAAUAUCAAGCGAUGCCAUUUUGUCAUUGGCUUGAUCUUGAGCUGUCAAAGCGCUCUUGGAUUAAGAAUCCCAAGUGCAGGAAAUUUGCCCUGAAGUUACUUCAAAACUCCACCAGUGCUUGAGGGCUUCUCCUGCCUCAUUACAACUCACUCCAUUGAGGUUAUGUGAGGGGUUUGUAGGACAUGUACUGGAAAAAGUAAACUGGUGUGUGAGAUUCAUCAGAGACACCUAGCUCCUGAGGGAUGAUAUGUGGCCUGGAAUCUAUUUACCAGGUUGUCGCUUCCCUUUAUUCAUGAAGAAACAGUGGGAAAAAUUGUAACUUGGUUAACUCAGCCAGUGAGGAUGAAGCUGUAAUGAAAUGUUAAUUUAUGAAUAGAAAGCCUUCCAAAAAUAGGGGCAGUGGGUUUACUUUGCAUAAAGGGCCUGUAGCAGUUCAGGAACAACACACCACGGGGGCAGGGUCUAUAUGGCAAUUGGUGGAGGAUUAAACACCUACACAAAUUAUAAACUCUCUGUUUGGAACCCUAUCAAGGCUGCUUUAAAUCUGUUGAUCCAUGCAUUAUUUUAAUUAUGUCUGCUUGUGGAAAAGAAAGGAGAAAAAAAAUUAAUGAAUCCUCCAACGGGAAGUACAACAGAGUACGUUUUCCUGAGAUUUGAUGAUAUACAGCAACAGCUCAAUUUGAGCCUCCGUUUUGCUGAUAUAGUGGGAAGAUAAAUCAGCUGUGUUAUUGCAUUGCAAGUGUUCAUGCAGUUUUGGUAAAGUGGAUUUAUGCUGGCAUAAUGUGAAUAAAAGAGUGAAGUACAUCACAGUGAAAUUUGACAAAAAGUGCCUGUGUGAAUCCCUAUUGUACUAAAUUGGCUUCAUUUAUUACUGAUUUCAUACGCAUCUGUAGAAAAAUAACCACAGAUGCAAAAUAACUGCAAAAUAUCCACACCCAAAUAUAAAUGUUGUAAAAUAUUCACACAUGAAAUAAUCUGAAGAAAAAUAUCCACAAACAAAAUACCUGUAGGAAAUUAUUCACACACAAAACAUCUGUUGGGAACUCACUACAUACUUCUAUAGGAAAAUAUCAAUGUACACGCAUCUGUAGGAAAGUUUAUACAUAAAUACAUACACAUAUCUGUAAAGAAAAUAUUCAUUCACAAGAUCAUCUGUAGGAAGUUCAUCACACACAAACAAAACAUCCAGGACAAUAUCCGUAGAAUAUCUGUAGAAAUACACCGUCUCACAGAGCAUCUGCAGGAAAAUAUCUACACCACAAAGCAUCUGUAGGAGAAUAUUUGCACCAUUCAAUAAAUCUGUUGGAAAAUACCCCACACAAAAUAUCUUUUGGAAAAUAUCCAUGCUUCCAGAUGUGAAACAUCGCCAUGAAUGAGCCUUCAGAAAAAUAUUCACACUUAAAAAGCAUGUCGGAAA